AUCACUCGGCUCGUGGAUCGAUGAAGAACGCAGCAAACUGUGCGUCAUCGUGUGAACUGCAGGACACAUGAACAUCGACAUUUUGAACGCAUAUCGCAGUCCAUGCUG
Molecule: ribosomal RNA, 108 nt
Filed under: Haematobia irritans (horn fly)
Lineage: Eukaryota; Metazoa; Arthropoda; Insecta; Diptera; Muscidae
Also listed under: 20 other names
Description: partial 5.8S ribosomal RNA
Rfam family: 5.8S ribosomal RNA
About the family: 5.8S ribosomal RNA (5.8S rRNA) is a component of the large subunit of the eukaryotic ribosome. It is transcribed by RNA polymerase I as part of the 45S precursor that also contains 18S and 28S rRNA.
Source: RNAcentral